Long non-coding RNA from Clarias gariepinus (North African catfish), 404 nucleotides. RefSeq lists it as uncharacterized. The record is from RefSeq and is a predicted model, not a curated record. The transcript is spliced from 3 exons. Lineage: Eukaryota; Metazoa; Chordata; Actinopteri; Siluriformes; Clariidae.
GUGGUUAUUUAAAAAACAGUCAAGCUGUUGAUGACAAGUGCUACUCUAUAAAACCUUUCUUCUGUUAUUCAGAAAUCAAAAGACAAGCAGUCACAAGAAUAAGGGUAAAGUCCAAUCAGGAUGUGAAUGAAUUAAAGGCAGCUAUCUUGGACCAGAUCGAGCAUACAAUGAAGGAUAACAGGAUGACAGAGGAUGUCACAGUGACAUGGAGAGUACAACCUGAUGGAAUGGAGUUUCGUAAGGAGAGAAAAGAUAAAGGUUGAAUUUUUUAGCUGUGUUUCAUAUGUCAAAGUGAUAUUUUAGUCUUAUUAGAAUAUUCAUUUUGGAAGAUUUAAUGAGAAAUAAUUUACUUUUAAGGGGAUGUAAAAAAAACUUUGGUGUAUGAGAUAAUUGUAACAUUUAAG